This is a non-coding RNA of Pelobates cultripes (western spadefoot toad), 216 nucleotides long. Lineage: Eukaryota; Metazoa; Chordata; Amphibia; Anura; Pelobatidae. The record is from the annotation of a GenBank genome assembly.
CUUGUUCGGAGUUCUUGUGGACUCCAUGAUUCGACGCAUCAGAGCUCUUUUGGCAUCAUGAGGGAGACCAACAAAAUAUUAGGCAGGUGUUUUAAUGUUGACUAAUCAGUGUAUAUACAAACAUUCACAUACAAAUACUAUAUAACAUACAGUCACACAUGCACAUAUACAUUGUCACAUACACACAGUCAAGUGAAGUCAAACAGACACAGUCAC